AUGGGAACGCGAAGAACCUUACCUACUCUUGACAUCCAGAGAACUUAGCAGAGAUGCUUUGGUGCCUUCGGGAACUCUGAGACAGGUGCUGCAUGGCUGUCGUCAGCUCGUGUUGUGAAAUGUUGGGUUAAGUCCCGCAACGAGCGCAACCCUUAUCCUUUGUUGCCAGCGAUUCGGUCGGGAACUCAAAGGAGACUGCCAGUGAUAAACUGGAGGAAGGUGGGGAUGACGUCAAGUCAUCAUGGCCCUUACGAGUAGGGCUACACACGUGCUACAAUGGCAUAUACAAAGAGAAGCGACCUCGCGAGAGCAAGCGGAUCUCAUAAAGUAUGUCGUAGUCCGGAUUGGAGUCUGCAACUCGACUCCAUGAAGUCGGAAUCGCUAGUAAUCGUAGAUCAGAAUGCUACGGUGAAUACGUUCCCGGGUCUUGUACACACCG
Molecule: ribosomal RNA, 439 nt
Filed under: uncultured bacterium
Lineage: Bacteria
Description: bacterial SSU rRNA
Rfam family: Bacterial small subunit ribosomal RNA
Source: RNAcentral